Molecule: long non-coding RNA, 378 nt
Filed under: Ananas comosus (pineapple)
Lineage: Eukaryota; Viridiplantae; Streptophyta; Magnoliopsida; Poales; Bromeliaceae
Description: long non-coding RNA (ACOM_LNC043450)
Source: RNAcentral
GGGCUUGUAACAUAUCAGAUUUUGAUAUAAAAGUAAAAAAUAAAUAAAAAUAGUGUGAGAUACUAUUUUUAUUGGAUUUAGAGAAGUAAAAUAUAAGUCAGAAACGACUCGCGCUGAAAUGGGAACGAAAAUAGAAGAUUUAGAAUUUUCUGUGAGAAACGCAGCUGAUAUUUUAGCAAAAAAUGCAGUGUCAGAAAAUUAUGAAAACUGGAGAAUAUGUCGGAAUUAUUUCUAUGAGGCUAGAUUUAAAGUUCCAUGUCAUUCUGACACCCGGAAGGUGAAAAAUAAAAUCCAACUGCUAUCUGCUAGAGAUUACAGUUCGGUGGAGCUUUCGGUGACCAAAAAUGGUCGAAACUGGAAAGUUAAGAUAUUUUCUUU